Mesocricetus auratus (golden hamster) is the source of this 1335-nucleotide long non-coding RNA. RefSeq lists it as uncharacterized. The transcript is spliced from 3 exons. The record is from RefSeq and is a predicted model, not a curated record. Lineage: Eukaryota; Metazoa; Chordata; Mammalia; Rodentia; Cricetidae.
GUUACAUUGCCAGCUGCAGCUGCACAUUCUCAGAAAUAGUGAGGGAAUAAUUGAAAACUGCACCAUAAGAGGUCCUUAUAAAGCUCCUACACUCUUUCUGCUGCCUUUUACAAAGGGUUCCCUGAGCCCUGAAGGGAGGGAUAUGAUGAAGACAUCUUGCUUAGGUCUGAGGGAUCCAAGUUCUCCCAUUCUCUGCAUAUUGUCUUGUGGUGCCUGCACCAUGAGCAAAUCCGAGGUAUCGGGAAAUGAACAACAAGACAUCCAGCUGUUUGUGCUAAGAGAAUGGGCAAAUAGAGAAGGAGGAGAGCAACUGUGAGUCUGGGAGCUUCAGAUCAAGGGUUCACAUAAAUGCUGCACUCUCAUUUCCAGGUCUUUACCUGUGACCAUGUAUACUGCCUUUCCAGCUGCCUCCAGUUAUGAUUCCUGUGCCUUGUUAUGGGUUUGUUUGUAUGUAAAGGAUAAAUAAUAUUCUUAAUGAUGUCCUGUGUAUUUGCCAAGUUUGCACCACAGAACUUAUGACAGAUUUUGUGCUUUAUUUCAAUUCUCUAGAAUGCAAAUUUCUUGGCCGUAGUAUAAUAACAAAAGACAACUUAUCUAAAUAUAGGCAAAUAUUUCUUUAUGUUUAAAAGAAGUUUUCCAAAGUUAACAAAUCUAAACCAAAUCCCCCAAUCAAAGCCCUGAGAGAUCAGCACAAUUCAAGUGAUAUGGGUGUGGAGGCUCAGCCCACACGUGGAUUAACUGUGCUAUCACAGAAUUGUCAUCCCAAGAGUCAUUUUUUAGAAGAGCAAAUUUGGCUCUCAGCAUUACUGGCCUUUCCUGGGCUCCUAUUUGUCUUUCCUCAUUUUAUUUUUCUUCAUCCCUUUUUUAUAGGUGAGGCAACACACAGGUGCUUGCCAGAUAAUAAAUCCUGAAUGUUGAAAUUCCAAACAUUCAGAGUUAUAAGAAUCAAAUUUUUCCUAUGUAGAAAUUAUCCAGUCUGUGGUAUUAUCUCAUAGUUGAAUAAAUGACAAAAGAAGUCAUCUCUUUUAUCUCUUCCUUGUUCCAUUCUUGUAUACUGCAUGCAAACCACUGACAUGCUAGUUUGUACCCCAAGGAUGGUUAUGCUUGAUUCUCAACUAUUUGCUACUUUGAAUGAAAUCCCAAACCCAAUGGGGCUUUCAGAAAACCAAAUCACAGUAAGUUGAAUGCCAUCUAGAAAACAUUACACUAGAUGAAUAGAAACAAAUAAUCAAUAGCUUUUCUCAAGAUUAUCUGUCUUUAUGUGUGUGACUUAGCCAAACACUUUGUCAUAAAUUUGGCCAUCUAACUCAAUAAAAGAGCUCCACUUUGUUACCA